This is a long non-coding RNA of Papaver somniferum (opium poppy), 1175 nucleotides long. RefSeq lists it as uncharacterized. NCBI's taxonomy places the organism in Eukaryota, Viridiplantae, Streptophyta, Magnoliopsida, Ranunculales, Papaveraceae. The transcript is spliced from 2 exons. The record is from RefSeq and is a predicted model, not a curated record.
CAACUUGCACAAAAAUGACAAGCAUUUAGUCCCUAUAUAAACUCAUCGACACAAAUAUACACUUGAUUAUCUCAUACCUUAGACCCCUCAAGCCAUCUGCUCCACUCUUUUCCUCUGUUAACUCGAUCAUCAUCGUAGAACUGUAUUGGAAGCUUCUUAUAACGCAAACCCAUAUCCAAUGGAAGAAGAAAAUAGGCUGCAAAGAUUGACAGGAAUGGCCCGCGAGGAUAUAUUAAACUGGUUCACAUAGACAAGAUGUACGAGAUCUGUGUAUGCUGCAAUAACAUCUCGUGCUGCCGUGCUGCACGGAAGCACGAGAUGUUGUUGCAGCAUACACGGAUCCCGUACACCUUCUCCAUUUAAACCAGUUUAAUGUAUCCUCGUGGGCCAUUCCUGUCAAUCUUUGCAGCCUGGUUUCUUCUUCCUCUAUUGGAUAUGGGUUUGCAUUAUAAGAAGCUUCCAAUACAGUUCUACGAUGAUAAUUCAUUCUAUCGAGUUAAUGGAGAAAAAAAAAUGGAGCAAAUGGCUUGAGGGAUCUAUGGUAUGAGAUAAUCAAGUAUAUGUUUAUGUCUAUGGGUUUAUAGAGGGACUGAAUGCUCUCUUAUCAGGAUAGCAAUCUUGAUAGUAUAAGCUGAAAAAUCCUAAGAAAUUUCAGACGACUAUACCAAGACGAGAUACAAGGGCGUUCCACGAUCUGCCACCAAGUUAUCAAGGAGACGGAGAAGAAAGAUUGUACCAAAUCUCUUUUCCUUAAGCAGCAGCUUAUCGUUAUAUUAUAGAAAAGAAAAGAAAAAAAAUGUAACAGAUAAUCUCCUGGACUAAUAAUUCGAAUUCGUGUCUGUUGAACUCUAUGCACCAAACUAGUGAUGGUGGGGAGUAUGUCCCCUGUCCAAAUCAAAAGACUACGUUCAAGUUCGGGUCGUUGGUGGUUUCUUGACAUACUACAAGAAAAUAACUUAAUAAAGUAACACGGUGGCUAAGAAAUCACAGGGAGAUAAAAUGACGCCAAAGUUUACCCCAGCAACGUAUAUAUACACAGAUUCAUUAUCAGAUGUUUAAAUAUGACUCGAGACAGAAAUGUAAACCAUAACAAAAGACUUUGCUUUUUCUUGACUUUGCAUCCAAUGUUUUCUGAUAAAUACUAGUGUGAAAGAACGAAAUGCCUUACUCCGCUA